UAGCAUUUCUCUAAACCUCUACCUCUAUGA
RNAcentral lists this non-coding RNA (30 nucleotides) under Rattus norvegicus (Norway rat). Lineage: Eukaryota; Metazoa; Chordata; Mammalia; Rodentia; Muridae. The record is from RNAcentral.